Non-coding RNA from Saimiri boliviensis boliviensis (Bolivian squirrel monkey), 298 nucleotides. Lineage: Eukaryota; Metazoa; Chordata; Mammalia; Primates; Cebidae. The record is from RefSeq and is a predicted model, not a curated record.
CCGGGGGCCGGUCCAAUCCCAUCUCCCCAGCAGGCCCCGCCCAUAGUAACUCCCCGGGACAACUUCUGGGCUACUUCCCCGGGGUCCCACCGCUGUCGCCCCGAGCGCUCUGGUAGCUGAGGACCCACUUGGGGUCUGGCCAGGUAUUCCCGGGGUGAGGCUGCAAGCCGUGUGUUGUGUCAGGCACCACAGAUGCAGGGUGGAAUGCGACAGACAGAGUCACACACCUCAGGAGCCACCAUCUCACUGGAGGACAGAAGGAAGCCAAUAGAGACGGGGUUUCGCCAUCUUGGCCAGG